Molecule: ribosomal RNA, 433 nt
Filed under: uncultured bacterium
Lineage: Bacteria
Description: partial 16S ribosomal RNA
Rfam family: Bacterial small subunit ribosomal RNA
Source: RNAcentral
AACGAACGCUGGCGGCAUGCCUAACACAUGCAAGUCGAACGAGACCUUCGGGUCUAGUGGCGCACGGGUGCGUAACGCGUGGGAACCUGCCCUUAGGUUCGGAAUAACUCCCCGAAAGGGGUGCUAAUACCGGAUAAUGUCUUCGGACCAAAGAUUUAUCGCCUUUGGAUGGGCCCGCGUUGGAUUAGCUAGUUGGUAGGGUAAAAGCCUACCAAGGCGACGAUCCAUAGCUGGUCUGAGAGGAUGAUCAGCCACACUGGGACUGAGACACGGCCCAGACUCCUACGGGAGGCGGCAGUGGGGAAUAUUGGACAAUGGGCGAAAGGCUGAUCCAGCAAUGCCGCGUGAGUGAUGAAGGCCUUAGGGUUGUAAAGCUCUUUUACCCGGGAUGAUAAUGACGGUACCGGGAGAAUAAGCCCCGGCUAACUCCGUG